UGGAUCCAGACUUUGAUUCUGGCUCAGGAUGAACGCUAGCUACAGGCUUAACACAUGCAAGUCGAGGGGCAGCGGGAUUGAAGCUUGCUUCAAUUGCCGGCGACCGGCGCACGGGUGAGUAACGCGUAUCCAACCUUCCGUACACUCAGGGAUAGCCUUUCGAAAGAAAGAUUAAUACCUGAUGGUAUGAUGAGAUUGCAUGAUAGCAUCAUUAAAGAUUUAUCGGUGUACGAUGGGGAUGCGUUCCAUUAGGUAGUAGGCGGGGUAACGGCCCACCUAGCCAACGAUGGAUAGGGGUUCUGAGAGGAAGGUCCCCCACAUUGGAACUGAGACACGGUCCAAACUCCUACGGGAGGCAGCAGUGAGGAAUAUUGGUCAAUGGACGAGAGUCUGAACCAGCCAAGUAGCGUGAAGGAUGAAGGUCCUACAGAUUGUAAACUUCUUUUAUAAGGGAAUAAACCCUCCCACGUGUGGGAGCUUGUAUGUACCUUAUGAAUAAGCAUCGGCUAACUCCGUGCCAGCUGCCGCGGUAAUACGGAGGAUGCGAGCGUUAUCCGGAUUUAUUGGGUUUAAAGGGAGCGCAGACGGGUCGUUAAGUCAGCUGUGAAAGUUUGGGGCUCAACCUUAAAAUUGCAGUUGAUACUGGCGUCCUUGAGUGCGGUCGAGGUGUGCGGAAUUCGUGGUGUAGCGGUGAAAUGCUUAGAUAUCACGAAGAACUCCGAUUGCGAAGGCAGCACACUAAUCCGUAACUGACGUUCAUGCUCGAAAGUGUGGGUAUCAAACAGGAUUAGAUACCCUGGUAGUCCACACGGUAAACGAUGGAUACUCGCUGUUGGCGAUAUACUGUCAGCGGCUUAGCGAAAGCGUUAAGUAUCCCACCUGGGGAGUACGCCGGCAACGGUGCAACUCAAAGGAAUUGAC
Molecule: ribosomal RNA, 921 nt
Filed under: uncultured Bacteroidota bacterium
Lineage: Bacteria; Pseudomonadati; Bacteroidota
Description: bacterial SSU rRNA
Rfam family: Bacterial small subunit ribosomal RNA
Source: RNAcentral